This 73-nucleotide transfer RNA is filed under the name Diaphorina citri (Asian citrus psyllid). It matches the Rfam family "tRNA". Rfam says of the family: Transfer RNA (tRNA) molecules are approximately 80 nucleotides in length. Their secondary structure includes four short double-helical elements and three loops (D, anti-codon, and T loops). The record is from Rfam by way of RNAcentral. Lineage: Eukaryota; Metazoa; Arthropoda; Insecta; Hemiptera; Psyllidae.
GUCUAGUUAGCAUGGUUGAUAGCGCGUCUGCCUUGUAAGCGCUAGGCUGUGGGUUCGAUUCCCACUCGAGGCG